RNAcentral lists this ribosomal RNA (440 nucleotides) under uncultured Bacteroidota bacterium. RNAcentral's name for it is "bacterial SSU rRNA". It matches the Rfam family "Bacterial small subunit ribosomal RNA", at positions 342 to 779 of the family's 1533-position model. The record is from RNAcentral. Lineage: Bacteria; Pseudomonadati; Bacteroidota.
AGGGAUGCAGCAGUAGGGAAUCUUGGUCAAUUGGCGAAAGCCAGAACCAGUCAUGCCGCGUGCAGGAUGAAGGCCCUACGGGUCGUAAACUGCUUUUAUUCGGGAAGAAAAAGUCUGUUUCCACAGACCUUGACGGUACCGAUUGAAUAAGGACCGGCCAACUCCGUGCCAGCAGCCGCGGUAAUACGGAGGGUCCAAGCGUUAUCCGGAUUCACUGGGUUUAAAGGGUGCGCAGGCGGCUAAGUAAGUCAGUGGUGAAAGCCUUCGGCUCAACCGGAGAAUUGCCAUUGAAACUACUUAGCUUGAGUGCAGUAGAGGUAGGCGGAAUGUAGCAUGUAGCGGUGAAAUGCAUAGAUAUGCUACAGAACACCGAUAGCGAAAGCAGCUUACCACACUGUAACUGACGCUGAGGCACGAAAGCAUGGGUAGCAAACAGGAUU